This 21-nucleotide non-coding RNA is filed under the name Caenorhabditis elegans. The record is from RNAcentral. Lineage: Eukaryota; Metazoa; Nematoda; Chromadorea; Rhabditida; Rhabditidae.
UGAGACAUUACAAUGAAUAAU